Molecule: ribosomal RNA, 422 nt
Filed under: uncultured bacterium
Lineage: Bacteria
Description: bacterial SSU rRNA
Rfam family: Bacterial small subunit ribosomal RNA
Source: RNAcentral
UGAGGAAUAUUGGUCAAUGGACGGAAGUCUGAACCAGCCAUGCCGCGUGCAGGAAUAAGGUCCUAUGGAUUGUAAACUGCUUUUAUUUGGGAAUAAACCUCCUUACGUGUAGGGAGCUGAAGGUACCAAAGGAAUAAGCACCGGCUAACUCCGUGCCAGCAGCCGCGGUAAUACGGAGGGUGCAAGCGUUAUCCGGAAUCAUUGGGCUUAAAGGGUCCGCAGGCGGGCUAAUAAGUCAGAGGUGAAAUCCCACAGCUUAACUGUGGAACUGCCUUUGAAACUGUUAGUCUUGAAUUAAGAUGGCGUUGGCGGAAUAGGUCAUGUAGCGGUGAAAUGCAUAGAUAUGACCUAGAACACCGAAAGCGAAGGCAGCUCACUACGGAUGUAUUGACACUGAGGCACGAAAGCGUGGGGAUCAAACA